RNAcentral lists this microRNA precursor (123 nucleotides) under Cucumis sativus (cucumber). RNAcentral describes it as "pre miRNA MIR390". It matches the Rfam family "MIR390 microRNA precursor family". The record is from Rfam by way of RNAcentral. Lineage: Eukaryota; Viridiplantae; Streptophyta; Magnoliopsida; Cucurbitales; Cucurbitaceae.
CCGGAGAAUCUGUUAAGCUCAGGAGGGAUAGCGCCACCGAAUAUAAAGAAAGAUUACCGGAAUAUUCCUUCUCGUCGCCCUGCUUUCCGGCGCUAUCUAUCCUGAGUUUCAUGGCUUCUUCUU